RNAcentral lists this ribosomal RNA (433 nucleotides) under uncultured bacterium. RNAcentral's name for it is "partial 16S ribosomal RNA". It matches the Rfam family "Bacterial small subunit ribosomal RNA", at positions 29 to 507 of the family's 1533-position model. The record is from RNAcentral.
AACGAACGCUGGCGGCAUGCCUAACACAUGCAAGUCGAACGAGACCUUCGGGUCUAGUGGCGCACGGGUGCGUAACGCGUGGGAACCUGCCCUUAGGUUCGGAAUAACUCCCCGAAAGGGGUGCUAAUACCGGAUAAGGUCUUCGGACCAAAGAUUUAUCGCCGUUGGAUGGGCCCGCGUUGGAUUAGCUAGUUGGUAGGGUAAGAGCCUACCAAGGCGACGAUCCAUAGCUGGUUUGAGAGGAUGAUCAGCCACACUGGGACUGAGACACGGCCCAGACUCCUACGGGAGGCAGCAGUGGGGAAUGUUGGACAAUGGGGGAAAGCCUGAUCCAGCAAUGCCGCGUGAGUGAUGAAGGCCUUAGGGUUGUAAAGCUCUUUUACCCGGGAUGAUAAUGACGGUACCGGAAGAAUAAGCUCCGGCUAACUCCGUG